GGGAUAGGAAGGUUGAUGGGAAAUGAACUGGCUGUCACUGUCCUUCCUGUCCAGAUGCAUUUGGAGGCUUUCUGGAGAAUGGUUUCCAAACUCAGUAUGUGCUGAAUGUUUCCCCAAUCUAUGGGGAAAUGAAAAGAAGACAGUGCAGUGAAUUUCUGAAAGUUAACCACUUUCAGCAUUAAUAGAACAAACGAAACCCUGGGAGCAGCCUUCAUGCUUGUUUGACGUUGCAGGGCGGCCUGUGAUUGAAGCUGUCAUGUAAGAUGAUGAUGUGAGAUAUGAGUGAGUGCACGUGCCUGUGAUGUGCGCUGGGUCUGUGAGGUGUGCACGUGCCUGUGACGUGUGCUGGGUCUGUGAGGUGUGCAUGGGUCUGUGAGGUGUGCAUGUGCCUAUGAAGUGUGCUGGGUCUGUGAGGUGUGCACGGAUCUGUGAGAUGUGCAUGGGUCUGUGAGGUGUGCACGUGCCUGUGAAGUGUGCUGGGUCUGUGAGGUGUGCACGGAUCUGUGAGGUGUGCAUGGGUCUGUGAGGUGUGCUGGGUCUGUGAGGUGUGCACGGGUCUGUGAGGUGUGCGCGUGCCUGUGAUAUGUGCUGGGUCUGUGAGGUGUGCACAGGUCUGUGAGGUGUGCACGUGCCUAUGAUGUGUGCACGUGCCUAUGAAGUGUGCUGGGUCUGUGACAUGUGCUGGGUCUGUGAGGUGUGCACGGAUCUGUGAGGUGUGCAUGGGUCUGUGAGGUGUGCACGUGCCUGUGAUGUGUGCUGGGUCUGUGAGGUGUGCACGGGUCUGUGAGGUGUGCGCGUGCCUGUGAUAUGUGCUGGGUCUGUGAGGUGUGCACAGGUCUGUGAGGUGUGCACGUGCCUAUGAUGUGUGCACGUGCCUAUGAAGUGUGCUGGGUCUGUGACAUGUGCUGGGUCUGUGAGGUGUGCAUGGGUCUGUGAGGUGUGCACGUGCCUGUGAUGUGUACUGUAUCUGUGAGGUGUGCACAGGUCUGUGAGGUGUGUAUGGGUCUGUGACAUGUGCUGGGUCUGUGAGGUGUGCACGUGCCUGUGAUGUGUACUGUA
RNAcentral lists this long non-coding RNA (1059 nucleotides) under Pan troglodytes (chimpanzee). RNAcentral's name for it is "long non-coding RNA NONPTRT016521". The record is from RNAcentral. Lineage: Eukaryota; Metazoa; Chordata; Mammalia; Primates; Hominidae.